AGUGAACGCUGGCGGUAGGCCUAACACAUGCAAGUCGAACGGCAGCACAGUAAGAGCUUGCUCUUACGGGUGGCGAGUGGCGGACGGGUGAGGCAUACAUCGGAAUCUACUUUUUCGUGGGGGAUAACGUAGGGAAACUUACGCUAAUACCGCAUACGACCUACGGGUGAAAGCAGGGGAUCUUCGGACCUUGCGCGAUUGAAUGAGCCGGUGUCGGAUUAGCUAGUUGGCGGGCUAAAGGCCCACCAAGGCUACGAUCCGUAGCUGGUCUGAGAGGAUGAUCAGCCACACUGGAACUGAGACACGGUCCAGACUCCUACGGGAGGCAGCAGUGGGGAAUAUUGGACAAAGGCGGCAAGCCUGAUCCAGCCAUACCGCGUGGGUGAAGAAGGCCUUCGGGUUGUAAAGCCCUUUUGUUGGGAAAGAAAAGCAGCAGGUUAAUACCCCGCUGUUCUGACGGUACCCAAAGAAUAAGCACCGGCUAACUUCGUG
RNAcentral lists this ribosomal RNA (492 nucleotides) under uncultured bacterium. RNAcentral's name for it is "partial 16S ribosomal RNA". It matches the Rfam family "Bacterial small subunit ribosomal RNA", at positions 29 to 507 of the family's 1533-position model. The record is from RNAcentral.